Molecule: ribosomal RNA, 601 nt
Filed under: uncultured bacterium
Lineage: Bacteria
Description: bacterial SSU rRNA
Rfam family: Bacterial small subunit ribosomal RNA
Source: RNAcentral
AGAGUUUGAUCAUGGCUCAGAACGAACGCUGGCGGCAGGCCUAACACAUGCAAGUCGAACGAAGCCCCUCUUCGGAGGUCAGCUUAGUGGCGCACGGGUGAGUAACACGUGGGAACGUACCCUUAGGUGCAGGACAACAGUUGGAAACGACUGCUAAUACUGCAUAAUAACUCCGGUUCAAAGAAUUUCGCCUAAGGAUCGGCCCGCGUCUGAUUAGCUAGUUGGUGGGGUAAUGGCCUACCAAGGCGACGAUCAGUAGCUGUUCUGAGAGGAUGAUCAGCCACACUGGUACUGAGACACGGACCAGACUCCUACGGGAGGCAGCAGUGAGGAAUAUUGGACAAUGGGGGCAACCCUGAUCCAGCCAUGCCGCGUGAGUGAAGAAGGCCUUAGGGUUGUAAAGCUCUUUCAGAUGUGAAGAUGAUGACGGUAACAUCAGAAGAAGCUCCGGCUAACUUCGUGCCAGCAGCCGCGGUAAUACGAAGGGAGCGAGCGUUGUUCGGAAUCACUGGGCGUAAAGCGUGCGUAGGCGGAUAAGAAAGUCAGAAGUGAAAUCCCGGGGCUCAACCCCGGAACUGCUUUUGAAACUCCUUGUCUAGAG